AUCAAAUAUUCACGGAUGCAUUCCGCAAAUAAUAGAUGAUACAGUCUAGAUAUACGUGUCCAGUAUCAAUUAUGCAUUGAUACAUUCAUCAAAUAAAAACAAGUCACAUUCUUGUUAUUUUUCAAAUUCAGAUACAUAUUUCAGUAUUAAAUAUGCACUGAUACAUCUAUCAAACAAGGCAUCUGGUUUCUGUUCUUCGACGAGUUAACAGCUCUCUAGGAGAGGAAAUCAUUGCAGGAGCAAGAUUAUGGAGAAAAAGAUUGUAGAGGAGAUCUAGAGAGAAAAAAAUGAUGCCAGCAGAGGGAGAUUUGAAAAAAAAUAAUACUGCGAGAAAAGGAGAGAGGGAAAAAGAGAAAUUAGAAGAGAAAACAGAGAACACUAAGAUGAUUAUGAAGUAUAGAGAUGUUGGCGGUGACGAUAGGCGGUGGGCAACACCAUUGUUGCCGGUGAAACAAAUAAAAACUUUCAGAUCUGUAAAAUUCUUUAAAAAUCUUGAUUAUUAUGAAUGAAAAUAAAGCAGUUUAUUUGUAUU
Molecule: long non-coding RNA, 532 nt
Organism: Solanum dulcamara
Lineage: Eukaryota; Viridiplantae; Streptophyta; Magnoliopsida; Solanales; Solanaceae
Exons: 3
Source: RefSeq, a predicted model, not a curated record